This 405-nucleotide unclassified non-coding RNA is filed under the name soil metagenome. RNAcentral describes it as "partial contains 5.8S ribosomal RNA, internal transcribed spacer 2, and large subunit ribosomal RNA". The stretch from base 1 to 122 matches the Rfam family "5.8S ribosomal RNA", at positions 35 to 154 of the family's 154-position model. The record is from RNAcentral.
GAUGAAGAACGUAGCAAAAUGCGAUACUUGGUGUGAAUUGCAGAAUCCCGUGGACCAUCGAGUUUUUGAACGCAAGUUGCGCCCGAAGCCUUUUGGCCGAGGGCACGUCUGCCUGGGCGUCACGCAUCGCGUCGCCCCCCCACAAUUCUCCGUAAAGGGAACAUGUGUUUUGGGGGCGGAUAUUGGUCUCCCGUGCUCAUGGCGUGGUUGGCCGAAAUAGGAGUCCUUUCGAUGGACGCACGAACUAGUGGUGGUCGUAAAAACCCUCGUCUUUUGUUUCGUGCUGUUGCUCGCAAGGUAAACUCUUUAAAAACCCCAAUGCGUCGUCUCUUGACGACGCUUCGACCGCGACCCCAGGUCAGGCGGGACUACCCGCUGAGUUUAAGCAUAUCAAUAAGCGGAGGA